CUACGGUGAAUACGUUCCCGGACCUUGUACACACCGCCCGUCAAGCCAUGGAAGCUGGGUGUACCUAAAGUCGGUAACCGUAAGGAGCCGCCUAGGGUAAAACUAGUAACUGGGGGCU
Molecule: ribosomal RNA, 118 nt
Filed under: uncultured bacterium
Lineage: Bacteria
Description: partial 16S ribosomal RNA
Rfam family: Bacterial small subunit ribosomal RNA
Source: RNAcentral